AGAGAGAGAGAGAGAGAGAGAGAGAGAGAGAGAGUUAAGCUACAAUACAACAUUAUAUUCAACCUGGGAAAAGUUGGAAUUGUUCAACCAUCAAAAGAGGGAAACUCAAGUUGAAACCAGAAUUCUAAUGGAAAUGGGCACUUCCAAGUGAUUUUAUUAAUGGCCAUACUAUAGAGGAAACCAGCAUUGUCAAUUAAAUUCAGGGUCCAUGCUAAUUAUGCACCUCUCCUGGAGGAGAAGAGAACUUCAUUAAAAGUCUAGAUCAGAGCAUCAGAGUACAAAAUAUCCCCUAGCUAAGGUUUUUUCACUUAAUAUGAUGCAUUUGGAACUGGGUGUAUGGGGAAGCCUGAUGGCUGGGAUUAGCUUAUUGGAAUGAUUUCCAUUAGCACUAAAAAUAUCUGUAUCUCUACCAUAGUUGUUGAAUGAUUCAACAGCAGCUGAUUAGGAUUGAAUCCAUCUCACACAAGAAAUAGGAGGACUUAUGUAUCUAUUUAUUCUAAUUGCCGUAUUUGCUGAAUAUAAUGGUGACUUUAUGUCGGUUAUGGCAGAUGAUAUGGAACGGUUGUUGACGGUAAUAAAACUCAUAAAUUCUGUUUUAGAGUUUAUUUAAUAACUUUUACCUUGGCAUGCCUAUGAAGCACAAAGGUUUACAAUUGUCUUUGUUCUGUCAGUCAAACUAAUUGAAGUUACAAUAUGAUUGGAUCAUUUUUAUGAAAAAGGGUUAUGAUGAGGAGCCACCAUUAGACUUCAAAAUUGAUCAUGAAGGUGAUCCUGCCAUUGAUGGAUCUCUUUUCAGAUUAAGGUUGAAAGCUGCCUGAUGGAGGAUCCAUCUUCAAGCGCAGCAGCAAGAGUUACACUAUUGAUGGUGCUGAGGCGAAUGAAGAGGAAAUUAAGGCUGGACAAGAAAAGGCCAUGGAAGCCUUUGUAGGAAUAUUCAAGCUAUGAUAGAUUGAGGGCUCAAACGCCAACGCUCCAAUAAUAAAAAUUUAAAUUUUUAACACAAUGUUUUAUAUUUAAAUUGUGCUAAGAUCGAAAAUUUGAGAUUAUAGAAAAUACAGAGCUAUUCAAAAUUUGAUUUAC
Hevea brasiliensis (rubber tree) is the source of this 1080-nucleotide long non-coding RNA. RefSeq lists it as uncharacterized. The transcript has 4 exons. Lineage: Eukaryota; Viridiplantae; Streptophyta; Magnoliopsida; Malpighiales; Euphorbiaceae. The record is from RefSeq and is a predicted model, not a curated record.